GAUUGAACGCUGGCGGCAUGAUUUACACAUGCAAGUCGAACGGUAACAGGCCGCAAGGUGCUGACGAGUGGCGAACGGGUGAGUAAUGCAUCGGAACGUGCCCAGUCGUGGGGGAUAACUACUCGAAAGAGUAGCUAAUACCGCAUACGAUCUAUGGAUGAAAGCGGGGGACCGUAAGGCCUCGCGCGAUUGGAGCGGCCGAUGUCAGAUUAGGUAGUUGGUGGGGUAAAGGCUCACCAAGCCAACGAUCUGUAGCUGGUCUGAGAGGACGACCAGCCACACUGGGACUGAGACACGGCCCAGACUCCUACGGGAGGCAGCAGUGGGGAAUUUUGGACAAUGGGCGCAAGCCUGAUCCAGCAAUGCCGCGUGCAGGAAGAAGGCCUUCGGGUUGUAAACUGCUUUUGUACGGAACGAAACGGCUCUGGUUAAUACCCGGGGCUAAUGACGGUACCGUAAGAAUAAGCACCGGCUAACUACGUG
This 483-nucleotide ribosomal RNA is filed under the name uncultured bacterium. RNAcentral's name for it is "partial 16S ribosomal RNA". It matches the Rfam family "Bacterial small subunit ribosomal RNA", at positions 27 to 507 of the family's 1533-position model. The record is from RNAcentral.